Long non-coding RNA from Bos taurus (domestic cattle), 931 nucleotides. The record is from Ensembl. NCBI's taxonomy places the organism in Eukaryota, Metazoa, Chordata, Mammalia, Artiodactyla, Bovidae.
CUAAAUCCCUUGAACUUGAUGUAGCAGAGCUUUUUUGGCCUGGGGUAUGGAAUAAGCUUUGAAGUCUUUCAGGCCUCAGCCACACUAACCAGCUGUGUGAUUACAGGCAGGCUGCUUUAUCCUUGACUCAAUUUCCUCCCCUAUGAAAAGAGAAUCAUAAGGCUGUUGUGAGUAGGAAAUGAGAGGACAUCUGAAAGCAAGACCCCAGCACAUCAGCUCUGUUCUUCGGCCACAGCCUGCCAUCCCACUGUGGAAGGGUGAAAUAUGCAAGGUUCUGCACUGCGGACACUCGCAUUUACUGAUCUCAGAGAAUCAGGAGGGGCCUCGAAGUUCAGGAGUUCAAAUUUUAAUCCAGCUCUGCUCUGGGUCCUGCUGAUGAAUUUACGUUUUAAUUUUUCAUCCGCGGCUCGGCACCAGACAUCACACAAAUAAAUGAAUGCAUAAAUAAAAUUCAUGAAGUCGGGCUGGGGAUUUGAAGCUGAGAGGUCUUGCUGCGUUUCAGGGACGAGUUUGAACAUCAGAGCCUCCUCGUCCUGUUAUUAAUAACUAUGCAGAACCCUGUAACGAAGGGACAAAGUAGGUCAGUCCCAGCUGCAGCAAAACAGAACAGCGGAGGAAUUAUCAAAGAAAUUAAAAAGCCUGCAUGGCCACCGCAAAGCACACUUUUAUAGGCUUUCUUCUGGUGAUAAUCCUGUGAGUCAAACUCAUGGCAGUGGAUUGACUUUUCACCCUUUUCAAAAAAGCAGCAAUUCACCAGCAUUCAAGGUUUGUGUGGAAAAGGGCGGCGAGCAUGUGAAAAUUAAAAGCAUAGAAACCUAGAGAAGCUUCCACCCCAGUCUAAUGUUAUUCUUACAUCACUUUUUGCUCUUUCUCGGGGUUCUGUCUUCCUGUAUAAAAUAAUAAAAUAAUUUCAGUUUUCUCUCAACUCCAA